RNAcentral lists this unclassified non-coding RNA (378 nucleotides) under plant metagenome. RNAcentral describes it as "partial contains 5.8S ribosomal RNA, internal transcribed spacer 2, and large subunit ribosomal RNA". The stretch from base 1 to 105 matches the Rfam family "5.8S ribosomal RNA", at positions 50 to 154 of the family's 154-position model. The record is from RNAcentral.
GAAAUGCGAUAAGUAAUGUGAAUUGCAGAAUUCAGUGAAUCAUCGAAUCUUUGAACGCACCUUGCGCUCCUUGGUAUUCCUUGGAGCAUGCCUGUUUGAGUAUCAUGAAAUCUUCAAAGAAAAUCUUUUGUUAACUCAAUUGGUUUCUACUUUGGUAUUGGAGGUCUUUGCAGCUUCACACCUGCUCCUCUUUGUUCAUUAGCUGGAUCUCAGUGUUAUGCUUGGUUCCACUCGGCGUGAUGAGUUAUCUAUCGCUGAGGACACUGUAAAAGGUGGCCAAGGUAAAUGCAGAUGAACCGCUUCUAACAGUCCAUUGACUUGGACAAUACUUUUAUGAUCUGAUCUCAAAUCAGGUAGGACUACCCGCUGAACUUAAGC